AGUGUGAUUGUCAUCACAUUUUUAAGUAAUCCCGUGAAAUAUACAUUUUUACCUGUAAAGUCUUCUAUUUUUCUUCCCUCUUCUUUCGUGUAUUGAUUCACCUGUAAUUGAAACAGCACACAGCUGAAAUAAAUAUAAAUAAGUAAAUAAAUAAAUAAUAAAAGAAUAAAGCACUCUUAGAGACACGCAACAGUUUGUACGUUUUGCUCAAUUAAAUGAAUCGGUUCUUCGAACGAACUAACGUUAACUGACUCGAACAAUCCAAGAAGCGCUAAACCAUCACUCGCCGCGCUCUCUACUGGCUUUUCUGCGCUAUUAGCAUUUAAGUAGUUAGCAAACGUUUGAGGGGACACGCAACUAGCUUGGGACUCGAUUGAGCUGUUAAUGGAGAUGGAAGACCCUUCAGAUCCGAGUCUGUGUCUGCUCUCAUCGUCCAAGAAUGUGUCCAGAGAUGCGACCAACAUCAUACCACCACCAUCAAACCUGCAAGACCCAGUCAUAGAGUCACAACUGUGGCCAGACGCCAUGUCUGAUUCAAGUAAGACAAAUAGCAAGUUUAAUCUCUUUGCUCUUCGUGUUCUUCUGAAUGUCCAAACCAGAAUUUAUGCCUUUCUCAUUUGAAACAGAAAGCAGAAAGACUUCCACACCCUCUCCAUCAACCUCUGUCUGUCCGGAAGCAGAGGAUGUUGAGUGUCUGACACCUGUGGGCUCAGGGAAGAGAACCAGAGUCUCUGUGAAUAAGUGCCAUGUUUGUAGGAAAGAAUUUAAAACAACCAGUGCACUUAAAACACACCUCUUGACCCACAGACAGGAUGGGCCUCAUUUCUGUGGCGUCUGUCAGAGAGCAUUUAAACACCAUCAUCAGCUCAUUUCUCACAUGAUGACCCACCACAAGAGAAAGAGCUAUAACUGCACACAGUCUGGCUGCCACAAAACUUACGAUGACAAGACCUCCCUAAAACAUCACUGUGCCUCUCGACACGGAGUCCACCUCACGUCUCCUUCCUCCUCUAGACUCUCUUCCAACUAUGACCUGCCGGCCUCAGCGUGGGAGCCAACGGUUAAUCUAACUGCUUCUGACUACCUCUUUACCUCUCAAC
RNAcentral lists this long non-coding RNA (1100 nucleotides) under Sinocyclocheilus anshuiensis. RNAcentral describes it as "lncRNA (ENSSANG00000026282.1)". The record is from RNAcentral. Lineage: Eukaryota; Metazoa; Chordata; Actinopteri; Cypriniformes; Cyprinidae.